RNAcentral lists this unclassified non-coding RNA (357 nucleotides) under Zea mays. Its description in RNAcentral is "misc RNA Zm00001eb105140". The record is from RNAcentral. Lineage: Eukaryota; Viridiplantae; Streptophyta; Magnoliopsida; Poales; Poaceae.
GCCCUGCCUGCUUCAGCUUGACACCUGCAUUAAAUCGGCACAGCAAAGUUAAAGUUCUAGGCAAAGCAGACAUAAAAAAAAUUCUAACAGGAUAUAAAUACAAACAGCCUGCACAGUCACACUCUCAGUACUAUACUAGUAGCUCGAUAAUAGCUCCGAAGGACAUGAUAAUUCUUAUUUUUGCUGAUGCCAAAAGGCUGUGGGUAAUAGUAAAUCACAACAUCAUCAUGACAAAGCAAUUUGAUGGAAUAAUUACACGAAGUAUGAAUAUUCGUACAGAAAAUGAUUACCGAGUGAUUUACAACAAACAAGUUGUCACUGCCCAACAAACUUACUAGAUGUGGAGAAGAAAUCCGU